Molecule: non-coding RNA, 30 nt
Filed under: Mus musculus (house mouse)
Lineage: Eukaryota; Metazoa; Chordata; Mammalia; Rodentia; Muridae
Source: RNAcentral
UNCUAGGAACAUGACUGCUUUGUAAAGGGC